GAUUCUGGCUCAGGAUGAACGCUGGCGGCGUGCCUAACACAUGCAAGUCGAACGGUUAAGGCAUCUUCGGAUGCGAAUAGAGUGGCGAACGGGUGAGUAACACGUGACCAACCUGCCCCCCGCACCGGGACAACGGGCGGAAACGCCUGCUAAUACCGGAUACUCCGCGACGGACGCCUGUCCGGCGCGGGAAAGCCCAGGCGGCGGGGGAUGGGGUCGCGGCCCAUCAGCUAGACGGCGGGGUGACGGCCCACCGUGGCGACUACGGGUAGCCGGGUUGAGAGACCGACCGGCCACAUUGGGACUGAGACACGGCCCAGACUCCUACGGGAGGCAGCAGUGGGGAAUAUUGCGCAAUGGGGCGAAAGCCUGACGCAGCAACGCCGCGUGCGGGAAGGAGGCCUUCGGGUCGUAAACCGCUUUCAUCGGGGAAGACGUCGACUGUACCCGAGGAAGAAGCCCCGGCUAAAUACGUGCCAGCCGCCGC
RNAcentral lists this ribosomal RNA (487 nucleotides) under uncultured bacterium. Its description in RNAcentral is "bacterial SSU rRNA". It matches the Rfam family "Bacterial small subunit ribosomal RNA", at positions 15 to 518 of the family's 1533-position model. The record is from RNAcentral.